CAAUAGCGUAUAUUAAAAUUGUUGCGGUUAAAAAGCUCGUAGUCGAAUUUUUCUGUUCCUGGCAUGGCUCAGGCCAAUGUCGGGAACGGAUUCCCGCAUCCGGCUUCGGCCGCGGGUUUUACUUUGAGGAAAUUAGAGUGUUUCAAGCAGGUUUUGCCUUGAAUACUUUAGCAUGGAAUAAUAGAGAAUGACUGCGUUUCACUCUAUGGUUAGUAAACGCAGUAAUGAUUAAUAGGAACAGUCGGGGGCGUUCAUAUUUAACAGCUAGAGGUGAAAUUCUUGGAUUUGUUAAGGAUGAACUACUGCGAAAGCAUUCGCCAAGGAUGUUUNCAUUGA
This 336-nucleotide ribosomal RNA is filed under the name uncultured eukaryote. Its description in RNAcentral is "partial 18S ribosomal RNA". It matches the Rfam family "Eukaryotic small subunit ribosomal RNA", at positions 592 to 976 of the family's 1831-position model. The record is from RNAcentral.